GACGAACGCUGGCGGCGUGCUUAACACAUGCAAGUCGUGCGGUAAGGCCCUUUCGGGGGUACACGAGCGGCGAACGGGUGAGUAACACGUGAGCAACCUGCCCUUCACUUUGGGAUAACUGCCGGAAACGGUGGCUAAUACCGGAUAUGACUUCCUCAUGCAUGUGGGGUGGUGGAAAGCCUUCGGGUGGUGGGGGAUGGGCUCGCGGUCUAUCAGCUUGUUGGUGGGGUGAUGGCCUACCAAGGCUUCGACGGGUAGCCGGCCUGAGAGGGUGACCGGCCACACUGGGACUGAGACACGGCCCAGACUCCUACGGGAGGCAGCAGUGGGGAAUAUUGGACAAUGGGCGAAAGCCUGAUCCAGCAACGCCGCGUGAGGGAUGACGGCCUUCGGGUUGUAAACCUCUUUCGCCUGCGACGAAGCGAGAGUGACGGUAGCAGGUAAAGAAGCACCGGCCAACUACGUG
Molecule: ribosomal RNA, 466 nt
Filed under: uncultured bacterium
Lineage: Bacteria
Description: partial 16S ribosomal RNA
Rfam family: Bacterial small subunit ribosomal RNA
Source: RNAcentral